GAUGAACGCUGGCGGCGUGCUUAACACAUGCAAGUCGAACGGAAAGGCCCAAGCUUGCUUGGGUACUCGAGUGGCGAACGGGUGAGUAACACGUGGGUGAUCUGCCCUGCACUUCGGGAUAAGCCUGGGAAACUGGGUCUAAUACCGGAUAGGACCACUUCUUGGAUGUUGUGGUGGAAAGUUUUUUCGGUGUGGGAUGAGCUCGCGGCCUAUCAGCUUGUUGGUGGGGUAAUGGCCUACCAAGGCGUCGACGGGUAGCCGGCCUGAGAGGGUGUACGGCCACAUUGGGACUGAGAUACGGCCCAGACUCCUACGGGAGGCAGCAGUGGGGAAUAUUGCACAAUGAGCGCAAGCCUGAUGCAGCGACGCCGCGUGGGGGAUGACGGCCUUCGGGUUGUAAACUCCUUUCGCUAGGGACGAAGCGUUUUGUGACGGUACCUGGAGAAGAAGCACCGGCUAACUACGUG
This 467-nucleotide ribosomal RNA is filed under the name uncultured bacterium. RNAcentral's name for it is "partial 16S ribosomal RNA". It matches the Rfam family "Bacterial small subunit ribosomal RNA", at positions 28 to 507 of the family's 1533-position model. The record is from RNAcentral.